AUUGAACGCUGGCGGCAGGCCUAACACAUGCAAGUCGAGCGGAUGAAGGGAGCUUGCUCCUGGAUUCAGCGGCGGACGGGGUGAGUAAUGCCUAGGAAUCUGCCUGGUAGUGGGGGAUAACGUCCGGAAACGGGCGCUAAUACCGCAUACGUCCUGAGGGAGAAAGUGGGGGAUCUUCGGACCUCACGCUAUCAGAUGAGCCUAGGUCGGAUUAGCUAGUUGGUGGGGUAAAGGCCUACCAAGGCGACGAUCCGUAACUGGUCUGAGAGGAUGAUCAGUCACACUGGAACUGAGACACGGUCCAGGCUCCUACGGGAGGCAGCAGUGGGGAAUAUUGGACAAUGGGCGAAAGCCUGAUCCAGCCAUGCCGCGUGUGUGAAGAAGGUCUUCGGAUUGUAAAGCACUUUAAGUUGGGAGGAAGGGCAGUAAGUUAAUACCUUGCUGUUUUGACGUUACCAACAGAAUAAGCACCGGCUAACUUCGUG
Molecule: ribosomal RNA, 485 nt
Filed under: uncultured bacterium
Lineage: Bacteria
Description: partial 16S ribosomal RNA
Rfam family: Bacterial small subunit ribosomal RNA
Source: RNAcentral